CAAUGAUAAGUGACUAUACACAAUUUUGUUGAUAAAAGACGUGAUUCAUAAUAAAUACGAUAGUUUUGACCUAUAUAUUUACAAAUAAAUCACCAAACCUUGUCAUUGUAUCUUGACAUCCUGCUAUUGCUACACAGCUACGAUGAAAGUACAUGUUUUCUUACUCUUGGUAAUUUAUGUGGUGAUGGAUACGUCGGCAAAGUCCAUUGGAAGUGAAAGGAAUGUAUCUUACAAUAAAUCGGAAAGUUCUUGUGUGUGCAUGAACAAUCAUCUGUGCGAAAUAAUAGAUCCGAACGUCGAAUGCCAUCCCAAUUACAUAAAAGUGUGCUGCCUAAAACCUUACAAUUACAAAGAUGAAGUAAAGGUGAUACUGCUUAAGUAACGCAUUUUUGGUUUUUUGCUAUUCUAAUCCGGACAUGAAUUUUAAACGCUGUUUUAAUUUUUGAAGUGCAGUUUUUAGUUAGAGUUAAGAUUAAAACCUGUAGUAAGUCUAUAAUAAUAAUAAUUUAUUGAA
This is a long non-coding RNA of Photinus pyralis (common eastern firefly), 514 nucleotides long. RefSeq lists it as uncharacterized. Lineage: Eukaryota; Metazoa; Arthropoda; Insecta; Coleoptera; Lampyridae. The transcript has 2 exons. The record is from RefSeq and is a predicted model, not a curated record.